Molecule: long non-coding RNA, 636 nt
Filed under: Malus domestica (apple)
Lineage: Eukaryota; Viridiplantae; Streptophyta; Magnoliopsida; Rosales; Rosaceae
Description: long non-coding RNA (MDOM_LNC006202)
Source: RNAcentral
UCUUGCUUCUUUGAAAGUAAAUUUUGUUGGAAAAUUUGCUAUCUCAAAUGUUGUAGAUGUUGUUCAUAUAAGCAUGAAUAUUGGAGCUAAAAUUUGGUGCCAGUGCCAUGCUUUUGGGAAAAUUCGGCCAAAUCCAAAGGGUGAUUUUUUGGGUUCUUGUUUGACUUGUUAAAAGUGUUUUAAUGUGUUCUUUGGAACCCCUAAGUACCCUAGUUUGGUUAGAUGUUAUUUCCCUUAAGUAAGAAUGGUUUUGGAAUGUUUUUGGGAGAAAAAGGUUCAUGGAAAAAUUUGGGUUUUUCAUGGAUGUUCUUCAUUGUUCUUGAUGUUCUUGCCAAGAACAAAAAGGUUUGGUGUUUUGAUUCAAAGUUUUGAUUUAUUUCAUAAAGUAUAUGUGAUAUGUUUUUAAAUGUUUUAUCAUGUAUUUAAAGUAUUAGAUAUUUGUAUAAAUGAGAUGAUUGAAAUAAUUGUGAUUGAAUUAUUUCAUAAACAUAUCCUUUCACAUACACUUGCAUGCUUUUGACAAAACUCACAAAUCAACACACACACCAAUGUUAUCUUCCCCUAAAACAGGCCACUCCCUCAAAGGGAGUACUUUUGGGGCUUUUAUGCAAUUACAUAAAGUUUUGAUACUUUUGU